This 71-nucleotide transfer RNA is filed under the name Loxodonta africana (African savanna elephant). It matches the Rfam family "tRNA". From Rfam's summary of the family: Transfer RNA (tRNA) molecules are approximately 80 nucleotides in length. Their secondary structure includes four short double-helical elements and three loops (D, anti-codon, and T loops). Lineage: Eukaryota; Metazoa; Chordata; Mammalia; Proboscidea; Elephantidae. The record is from Rfam by way of RNAcentral.
ACAUUGGUGGUUUAGUGUUAAAAUUCUCACCUUCCAUGCAGGAGACCUGAGUUAGAUUCCCAGUCACUGUA